This 421-nucleotide ribosomal RNA is filed under the name uncultured bacterium. RNAcentral describes it as "partial 16S ribosomal RNA". It matches the Rfam family "Bacterial small subunit ribosomal RNA", at positions 360 to 773 of the family's 1533-position model. The record is from RNAcentral.
AAUUUCGUACAUUGGGGUCAACCUUGAUCCAGCCAUCCCCCGUGUGCGACGAAGGCCUUCGUGUUGUAAAGCACUUCUGGCAGGGAGGAAAAGGCUCUGCCUAAUACCUGGAGCUGCUGACGGUACCUGCAGAAUAAGCACCGGCGAACUACGUGCCAGCGGCCGCGGUAAUACGUAGGGUGCAAGCGUUACUCGGAAUUACUGGGCGUAAAGCGUGCGCAGGCGGUUCGGGAAGAAGGAUGUGAAAAACCAGGGCUUAACAUUGGAACUGCAUGUUUAACUGCAGGGCUAGAGUAUGUCAGAGGGGGGUAGAAUUCCGCGUGUAGCAGUGAAAUGCGUAGAGAUGCGGAGGAAUACCGAUGGCGAAGGCAGCCCCCUGGGAUAAUACUGACGCUCAUGCGCGAAAGCGUGGGGAGCAAAC